RNAcentral lists this ribosomal RNA (594 nucleotides) under Bacteroides eggerthii DSM 20697. RNAcentral describes it as "bacterial LSU rRNA". It matches the Rfam family "Bacterial large subunit ribosomal RNA", at positions 1110 to 1702 of the family's 2925-position model. The record is from RNAcentral. Lineage: Bacteria; Pseudomonadati; Bacteroidota; Bacteroidia; Bacteroidales; Bacteroidaceae.
AAGCAGCCAUUCAUUUAAAGAGUGCGUAACAGCUCACUAGUCGAGGAGUUUGGCGUGGAUAAUAAUCGGGCAUUAAGUAUUCUACCGAAGCUUUGGGAUGUGUAAACAUCGGUAGGGGAGCAUUCCACUCUGCGUCGAAGGUGAAGCGUGAGCUUUGCUGGAGCGUGUGGAAAAGCAAAUGUAGGUAUAAGUAACGAUAAAGGGGGUGAGAAACCCCCUCGCCGAAAGACUAAGGUUUCCUGAUCAACGCUAAUCGGAUCAGGGUUAGUCGGGUCCUAAGGCUCAGCCGAACGGCGAGGCCGAUGGCAGAACAGGUUAAUAUUCCUGUACUACCUUUAGGAGUGAUGUGGAGACGGAGCAGUGACAGCGCCGCCAUCUGACGGAAUAGAUGGUUGAAGGGUGUAGAUGUUGAUUCCUGUAGGCAAAUCCGCAGGAAGAGUCGAACCUGAUAGUAUACAGCGUUCUUCGAACAAUGUAAUAGUGCGUGUAAACAUACUUCCAAGAAAAUCCGCUAAACUUAAUCCUAACGGUACCCGUACCGUAAACGGACACACGUAGUCGGGUUGAAUAUACUAAGGCGCUUGAGUGAUUCAC